This is an RNA transcript of Cheilinus undulatus (humphead wrasse), 7551 nucleotides long. It is a transcript of the gene named insulin-like growth factor 1 receptor, with no coding region annotated. The record is from RefSeq and is a predicted model, not a curated record. Lineage: Eukaryota; Metazoa; Chordata; Actinopteri; Labriformes; Labridae. The transcript has 22 exons.
UGUACCUGUACAUUUAUCUGUCUAACUACGCUGCCUGAAGACGUAUCUGCCGACGGGGGACAUUGGUUUACCACAUUACUAGUCUUGAAUUGAAGAAACGAGGCAAAAUCCUCCAUUUUCCGUUAAUAUGAAGGUGAAUUACUGCUACCACAACAACGCGGUGCGUGUGUGCAUGAUGAGCGGCUGAGGAGGAGGAGGAGGAGAAGGAGGCUGCGGUCUGAAACCAGAUUUUUAUCCUGGAUAUUUCGAAUGAAACGUCGUUUCAUACACACAGGGUGUGUGUAUUGAUUUCACAACCCCUUUUGUGCCAUAAACCGCCCCUUUCCAUCCCAUUUUUGAUGGUGUUUGAGCCGUUUUCUGCCUCCUGAGGAUCCUCCAGCAGCGGGACGUUGUACGUUUUUUCCUCCAGAUAUGGAGUGUGAAGAUGCGGAUUACAGAGGAAUCCCCGCCGCCAGUUUAGCCGCAUUGGUUUCAUUUCAUCCAUCAAUGCGGUACUGUUUCAGGCAAGAAUAAACAAAACUAUGAAUAAAUAUUUUCUGUCAAGAGGAAUAAAUCGGUGAUUUCGGAGCACGAUUGGACUCCCAUUUGGAACGUGAGGAGGCUAUCCUGCUAGCCUGUAUGUAGUAGCUAUUAGCUCCAUUAGCCGGCUAACAGCUAAAAGGUGCUGGCUGGAGAUUAAAAAGCAUUUUUUAGGAAUUCUGACCAGGUUUUGUCCACGUUUCCUCCCAUAGACAUAUUUAUUUACAAGAUUCGGGAGGAUUAACUCAUCCAGGAAUGAGGUCUCGAGCGGAAAGGAGCCGCUUGACCUUGUUUUGGGGUCUGAUGCUGGCUCUGUCGUCCUGCCUCUGGCCCGCCACCGCAGAGAUAUGUGGUCCAAGCAUCGAUAUCGGAAACGACAUCAGUGAAUUCAGGCGUCUAGAAAACUGCACAGUGGUAGAAGGCUACCUGCAGAUCCUCCUCAUCGGUGACAAGAACAACAACAACAUCAACCAGGAAGUCUUCCGCUCCCUGAGCUUCCCCAAGCUGACCAUGAUCACUGACUACUUGCUGCUAUUUAGAGUUUCCGGCCUGGACAGUCUGAGCACGCUCUUCCCCAACCUCACUGUCAUCCGCGGUCAGAAACUCUUCUACAACUACGCCCUGGUGAUCUUUGAGAUGACCAGUCUGAAGGACAUUGGCCUUUCCAACCUAAGGAACAUCACCCGCGGCGCCAUUCGCAUUGAGAAGAACCCUGAGCUGUGCUACCUGGACUCCAUAGACUGGUCCCUCAUCAUGGAUGCAGAGGUUAACAACUACAUCGCUGGGAACAAGCAGUCCAAGGAGUGCAGCGAUGUUUGUCCAGGGAUCAUGGAGAACAACCCUCAGUGCAGGAAGACCAUGUUCGGCAACAACUACAACUACCGCUGCUGGAACUCCAAUCACUGCCAGAAAGAGUGCCCGGAGAAGUGUGAACGACGAGCGUGCACAGCAGAAGGAGAGUGUUGCCACCCUCAAUGUCUUGGCAGCUGCACAGCCCCCGGUAGUGACACAGCUUGUGCUGCGUGUGUGCAUUACUUCUACCAAGGACGCUGCGUGGAGGACUGCCCUCCUGGCACCUACAAGUUUGAAGGCUGGCGUUGCAUCAGCGAGGAUCUCUGCUCGAAAGUCCACCUCCCUGAGUACGACAGCUUCGUCAUCCACGGUGGAGAGUGCAUGUCUGAAUGCCCGCCUGGUUACACACGCACUGCACCCAACAGUAUGUUCUGUACAGCCUGUGAUGGUCUGUGUGAUAAAGUGUGCCACGAGAAGGUCAUCGACUCCAUGGAUGCCGCUCAGUCUCUUAAAGGCUGCACUGUUAUCAAAGGCAACCUGCACAUCAACAUCCGUAGAGGCCACAACAUGGUGGCAGAGCUGGAGAGUUUCACAGGUUUGAUCCAGAGGGUGACAGGCUAUGUUCGGAUCCGACACUCCCACACCCUGAGCUCUUUGGCCUUCCUUCGUAGUCUGAGAUACAUCGAUGGAGAAGAGCUUCUGGAUGACAUGUACGCCUUCUCUGCCUUUGACAACCAGCAGCUUCAGUAUCUUUGGGACUGGAAACAGCACAACCUCACCAUCAAGAAUGGAAGGCUUUUCUUUCGAGCAAACCCCAAACUCUGCAUGUCCGAGAUCCGCAAAAUGUGGGAGAAGACGGGCAUCCAGGGCCACUUUGAAGACAGUGAUUUCCGAAACAACGGCGACAGAGCCAGCUGUGAAAGCGCCAUCCUGAAGUUUAAGUCCAACACCACCAGCAGCACGAGGAUCAAACUGACAUGGCAGCGUUACCGUCCCCGUGACUACAGAGAUCUCAUCAGCUUCAUCCUCUACUACAAAGAGGCGCCGUUCCAGAACAUCACAGAGUUCGAGGGCCAGGAUGGAUGCGGCUCCAACAGCUGGAAUAUGGUGGAUGUGGAGCUAAGCCAGGACAAGGACUCAGACCCUGGCGUCCUACUGUCCAACCUGAAACCCUGGACACAGUACGCCAUUUUCGUGAAGGCCAUCACACUCAUGGUGGAGGACAAACACAAGGGUGCCAAGAGCAAGGUGGUCUAUAUCCGCACCAGCCCUGCAGCGCCCUCCAUGCCUCAGGAUGUGAGAGCGUACUCCAACUCAUCCACUCAGCUGGUAGUGCGUUGGUCUCCCCCUGUCUCACCAAACGGAAAUCAGACUUACUACCUGGUUCGAUGGCAGCAACAAGCUGAAGACAGAGAGCUGUAUCAGCACAACUAUUGCUCCAAAGAGCUGAAGAUCCCCAUAAGGAUUGCUGCCAUGGGUGUAGGAGACCAGGAAGAGGACACCAAGCCCACUAAGCCGGACCCGGAUGGGGCAGACAAAGGCCCCUGUUGCCCCUGCCCCAGAUCAGCAGAAGAACUGGAGAUCGAAGCUGCUGAUGCCUCCUACAGAAAAGUCUUUGAGAAUUUUCUGCACAACUCCAUAUUUACUCCUAGGCCACCUGAUCGCCGCCGUAGAGAUCUCUUUGGCGUAGCCAACUCCACUCAUCCCCGCCGCAGCCGCCCACACACCAACAGCAGCACGGUCCCUCCCCUCCAGGCGGCUGGUAACAGCAGCGUGGUGGACGUAGAUCCAGGGGACAGAGAGUACGAGUUUGUGGAGCAAGCUGUGACGGAGCGGGAGCUGCAGAUCUCCGGCCUACAGCCAUUUACAGUUUACCGCAUCGACAUCCAUGCCUGUAAUCGUCAGGUCCAACGCUGCAGUGCCGCAGAGUUCGUCUUUUCCCGAACGAAGCCUGCAGAAAAAGCUGACGACAUCCCCGGUCUGGUGACCUGGGAGGGCCAUGAGGACUGGGUGUUUCUGCGCUGGCCAGAGCCACGUCACCCCAACGGACUCAUCCUCAUGUAUGAGAUCAAGUUCAGACUGGCUGCUGAGACGGAGAAGCACGAGUGUGUGUCUGGUCAGAUGUACAAGGCCCAGCGAGGGGUUCGGCUGACUAACCUCAGUCCUGGAAACUACUCAGUCAGAGUGAGAGCAACGUCACUGGCAGGCAACGGCUCAUGGACGCAGCCUCUGGAUCUCUAUGUAGCUGAACGAUAUGAAAACGUCCUCUACGCUAUGAUCUUGAUACCUAUCUCCAUCGUCUUCAUAAUCUGCAUUUUAACAGUGGUGUUGGUGGUUGUCAACAGGAAAAGGAACAGUGACCGGCUUGGAAAUGGAGUCCUGUACGCCUCAGUUAACCCUGAGUACUUCAGCGCUGCAGAGAUGUAUGUACCAGAUGAGUGGGAGGUGGCCCGGGAGAAGAUCUCCCUGAGUCGUGAGCUCGGCCAGGGGUCCUUCGGCAUGGUGUACGAGGGCCUGGCGAAGGGCGUGGUCAAAGAUGAGCCAGAAACACGUGUUGCCAUAAAGACGGUCAAUGAGUCAGCCAGUAUGAGGGAGAGGAUUGAGUUUCUGAAUGAAGCAUCGGUCAUGAAGGAGUUCAACUGUCACCACGUGGUUCGUCUCCUUGGUGUGGUGUCUCAGGGUCAGCCCACCCUGGUCAUCAUGGAACUGAUGACUCGAGGAGAUCUGAAGAGUUACUUACGUUCCCUCCGACCUAAAGAGCAGCAGUGGUCGAGCCUGUCUCUCCCUCCUCUGAAGAAGAUGCUUCAGAUGGCCGGGCAGAUCGCUGACGGCAUGGCUUACCUAAACGCCAACAAGUUCGUCCACAGAGACCUGGCAGCCAGGAACUGCAUGGUGGCUGAGGACUUCACUGUUAAGAUCGGAGAUUUCGGCAUGACCAGAGACAUCUAUGAGACAGAUUACUACCGCAAAGGUGGUAAAGGUUUGCUCCCUGUGCGCUGGAUGUCCCCGGAGUCUCUAAAGGAUGGAGUAUUCACAACUAACUCUGAUGUCUGGUCAUUUGGAGUUGUGUUGUGGGAGAUCGCCACUCUAGCAGAGCAGCCGUACCAGGGUCUGUCCAACGAGCAGGUGCUCCGCUUCGUCAUGGAGGGAGGCCUGCUGGAGAAACCACAGAACUGUCCUGACAUGCUGUUCGAGCUCAUGCGAAUGUGCUGGCAGUACAAUCCGAAGAUGCGCCCGUCUUUCGUAGAGAUCAUCAGCAGCGUAAAGGACGAGCUGGAGCCUUCCUUCAGAGAGGUUAGCUUCUUCUACAGUGCUGACAACAAGCCACUCGAUGCUCCGCAGCUCCACCUGGACAAGAUGGACGACAUGGAUGAUGUUCCUCUUGACCCCUCUUCUUCUCAGACGCAGCAAACAUCAGUCCCUCAACAGACCCCACCCUCACCCAGCUCAGACGCUCCACCCGCCCCCUCGCUAGCACCCAGCUCCCCCUCCUCUCCCUGCACGUCGGCCGCUGCCAUGGACAAGCAGCCUUCCAGCCAGCAGGCAGCCAAUGGGCUCUCGGGGACGGGCCUUGCUGCGGCGUCUGUGCGGCCGUCUCUGGACGAGCUACCGCCUUACGCACACAUGAAUGGAGGACGCAAAAAUGAACGCACCAUGCCUCUACCACAGUCCUCCGCCUGCUGAUUGGACAGACGCACCCACCUGACUGCACCUGCCCCGCCUCAGAGGGUGGGGUCUUCUUUUUUAUUUUUUAAUUCACAUACAGCAAAACUGUGUCCACCAGCUGGGUGUGUCCACUGAGUGAGGAGAAAAGACUCACAGGAAGGUGCAAGACUGUCACUGAGUCCGUGUUCUGCUGUACCUCCACACACUUCUCUCACAUGGUUCUAGUUUUGGUUUCCACCAGCCGGCUGUCAGACAUGACACUGCCCUCGCUGCUGAAUGACAAGACCAGAAAACAACAAAGGAAAGGAAAAAGUUGAAUUUAGGGAAGAUCUGUCUCCCUCUUUAUGGCUGAACUUAUUUUAUAAAUUGUUGUUUGUUACUUUUUUUACAUGUAUUUCCAAAUGGGAAAACAAAAUAUGUAGGCCUUUAUAAGUGAACGGCAUUUUGGUCACUAGGGGCGGGCAUUAAAUUGAAAUUGUUGAGCAUAUCUAACGCAAAAGCACUUCAGAGAGGUCAGAGUCUCCGUCGAUCGUUGAGUAGUGUUGCUCAGCUGAAAGAGAAACUAGUCAAAUCUGCCAAAUUUGUUGCCAAAAUUGUACUUUUUUGUAAAGAUCUCUCUUCUGCAGUCUCGCCCUGUGAUUCUCCAAGAUUUAAAAAAAGACGCCUUUUGAUGUGUUCCCACGCCGUUUGAAAAAUGUGCGAUCAAAGGGAGUUUAACAUCCCUCUAAAGUUCGACACAUUACUCCUCUUUUUGCUUUUGAUAUCUACAGCUCUUGUUCUUUAUAAAUUAACGUCAUGGACCUUGGUUACAUCAGAAGUCUUAUCCUCUCACAAAGUGCUGUUCUGUUAAGGUUUAAAACGCCAAAUCCAGUCUAUAAAGAAGCAAAAAAAUCCUUAAAGAAAGGACUGCAGAGAGUAGAGCAAAUACAGGAAACAUAUAUGAACACUAUCUUCUCUAAUGGGAAGCGUCCUCAUUGUUGUAAACAGACAGGUAUUUUUUUAGACUAGACAUUAGUCUCCACAUUUACGACAUCUCGACGUGGGCAGAGCAUUUAUGUACGCACCAGUUGUUUGUGUCACUUUUCUAACUUUUAUACAGUUGGAGACAUUCAUCAUGUACAGAAAGAAGCUGCUAUUCCUUAUUUCUCUUGUGGUUGUAAUAUAGUUAAUAUCUAUAUAUAAAAAGAGAAAAAAAAACCCUUCAGGUCAGAUCUACAAACGUUUCCACUACGGUCCAUUUUUUUAAUGCUUGUUACUGUGUCUCUGAGCUGGUUUCAUUUCUGUGUUCCCGUAAAGGUACGACAGUUUGGUAACUUCCCCUCACGUCUGAAUAGAGGACAGAGAUGGUACGAACGACGAGUAUCGAUGCUCUCGUGUUUCUCGGGACGCUUCGACCUCUCUCCUCUGGCAUUUACGCUCAGAGGUUUGAGGCAUCACAGCUGAGGCCCAACAAAAUCUCAGAAAAACACUUCUCAUCUCUGUUGUCCGGCUGUAAAGAUGAUCUCACUGAGUGCUGUUAAUACGGUCAAACUCAAACCACAGACUGAACCAUCCUGGAGGAGAGGAGGAGGCAAGAAACACGGCGACUGUUAGGGGAGUCCACAUCAUUGCUGGUCAAUACAUUUCCCUUUAUUCUGCAGAUAAUCAAUGAAUUAUAACUCCUCUAAAUGUCCUUCAGAACGGUCCUGUUUUGGCAUGAAAUUUGACUCAGUUGUACCUCUUGUUCAUUAUAGCUACAGUUAAUCCACAUAGUUCUGCUUCUGCCUGUUUUUCAUGAAGUAAUUUUGGAAAUUAAGAGCUGUUAGUUUGCGACUUUAACUACAUUUAUGAUAAUGUUUCCAGACUACUAAUGCUAGGGCUGUCGCAAAACCAGAAUUUCAAACUUUGAUAUGCCACCAGUAAAAAUCAGACAUCAGUGAUUUGAUAGAAACAACAAUUCAAGUCUAAGCAACCGAUAUUUGGUAAUUUCCUGUGUUUUGUCAUCAAAAAGCAGAUAAACUCCUUCACGCUGUCUAAAUUGCAGUGAGAAUGCCAGAAUACUUUCCAGGUCUUUUACUGCCAAACUGGACUUAUGAAUAUUUUUUCUUUUGCCAGAGUGGUCAUUACAUGGUUUUCUUCCUCCCUCGUCAGUGCAGGUUAAUCAGGCAGCAUCUCUCCUCACCACAGUGAACUCAUCAGGAUGGCUAUUUCAGUGUUUGUGGUCUGAUUUUUGCCUCACUUUUACCACUGGAACACCUCACAGAAUGGACAUGAAAUCGAACAAAUCUCUGUUUUUGUUUAUUUUUAUCCUCCCUUCCCUUUUUUGUUACAUCGUUGGCAAAUUUGUUACAGACUUUUUGAUGUGUGUAAAUUAUUCAUAGCCUUCCAACUCUUUGAGUUUCUAUUAAAAUGAUCUGUUAGACUGAGGUUUCAUUUUGCUUUCUUUUGUACAUGCUGUUGUAAGAUUUUUUCCUGAUUAUCAAUAUAUUCUGAGUACUGGGAAAAAUUAUUGGCUGAAGGAAAGAGGAAUGUCUGUUUCUCUGAUUCUUUUUUCUACACGAGAUUUAAGAUGAAUAAAAAUGUAUGCAAACUGUU